This is a long non-coding RNA of Hemiscyllium ocellatum (epaulette shark), 2139 nucleotides long. RefSeq lists it as uncharacterized. NCBI's taxonomy places the organism in Eukaryota, Metazoa, Chordata, Chondrichthyes, Orectolobiformes, Hemiscylliidae. The transcript has 2 exons. The record is from RefSeq and is a predicted model, not a curated record.
UAUAAACAUAUCUUCAAAUCGUCCAAGACCAUUUUCUGCUCAGGGUAUGGCUCUGUGUAUGACAGCAGCAAUGAUGCACCGACAUGGAACAGGGAAUGUGAUGGAGACAUAGUUUGGACAAUGUACAAGGAGACCUCACAUGGUCCAGUAUUGGGAGAGAAUGACAUUAUUGUGUGAUUCAACUCAGAGAGGGAGACAAUGUCAUCUGCCAGAGAAGAAACAGCCUAUUGCACUCUCUCUCCUUCAUUAUUCCCCAUCACAGUAACGUGUACGAGCUAAAACAAAAGUCUACUGUCAUUGUUACCAUUCUUAUUUUUAUAGAAUCCUGCAGUGUGGAAACAAGCCCUUCGGCCCAACAAGUCCAUACCAACCUUCCAAAGAGUAACCUUCCCAUGCCCUUACAGUUACCACUGACUAGUUCACCUAAAGUAGAAAUCGCUGAACACUGUGGACUAUUUGACCAACCCACUUGAAUUAUACAGCUUUGGGCUGUGGGAGGAAAUGGGAGCGCCCAUCAGAAGCUCACGCAGACAAGGGGAGAAGAUGCAAACUCCACCCAGAUAGUCGCCCGAGGCUGGAAUUGAACUCAUACCCCUGAUGCUGUGAUGGAACACUGCGAACUCCUGAGCCACUGUGCUAACCUGGAACCUCCUGACUGCCGAAUGCAAAGGGAAUUCAGCCCAAUUCCAACUGUCCCAGGAUAAAAUCCCAUUGCUAGCAGCUGUAUGCAAUGUUACUGGACAAACAACUCGGUGUGAAGCAUAACCCCAUUUGCUUAAAUACGAUAGAUGAAAUAAAACCAAAGAAAGAAGAAUUUAGAAUAAUGUAAUUAUAUUGGACAAGUUAACAGAACAAUAGAUCUAGGAACUAAUACUAAUGAACUGUUCCAAUACUGGAAAAUCACAUGAACACAGCCCUUGGAAAAAAGGAAUAUUCAGACACUGAAUGACACAAAUAUUUCUCCAAUUCAGGAUUUAAAAACAGCACCAAGAGAAAAUUCAUAGAGAGGAGCUGCCAGGAGACAUUCACUAAAACUUUCAACUCGGUGGAGACCCCAAUAAUUUCUGAUGUUACUGAGAAACCGAAACCCAGAAAUCCUAAUCUGUGAAAGCUGACCACACCCAUUCCAUCUGCAUUAAAAUAAACCCAAGGCAUCACUAGUUGUUUAUUCAAGUGAUCCUAACUAGCCAGCUUGGUAACGGUCAUUCAAUCUCUCUCUUAAAAUAAACCAGAACAAAAUAACUUCUUAAAGCUACAGCAUCAUCACACUAGUCAGCACAUCGAGCUGUCAUUCAGGAACCAGGGGUAACACAAUCAGGCCUUUGACCCAAUCGGACGAGGAAGAAGCCAGUCAGUCCCUUGAGUGACUUACACAGGAACAGUAGGAGGCCAUUCCCACCUCAAUGCACUUACACGGGGCAGAAUGAGGUAAUUGAUGCUGAUUCCUGAUGAACGGCUUAUGCUCGAAACGUCGAUUCUCCUGCUGUGCUUUUCCAGCAAACUACUCUGAUCUUCAGCAUCAACAGUCCUCGCUGUCUCCUAAUUGAUGCUCUAACAUGAUGACCAAGUGGAGCAGAGGCUGCACACACAGACUGCUCCACGUUGUUCCUCGUAGCUCCGUCUGUCAUGAUACACACGUGGGACUUUAACGUGGUUUUCUCGCGGUGAGGAGGGAAGACAUAUGUCUUGUGUGAAGUUACAAGAAGGCUCCUUCCAUCUCCGGGAAGCCAGCCUGGUGUUCUCUAUGUAGGGUGGAUGCUGAUGGGAAUGGCUACCUGUUUCAGAUGGAAGGUAUUGUGGCUGCUGUUGGGGAUUGUGAGCAACCUGACGUUCAGUUCGGGUUCACACGCCGACUACACAAUAACGUGGGGAGAGUUAAUUAAGGCAUAUAAACUAUUAGGAAAGUCACGUUAGACUGAUGGAUGGACUCUCUAAAUUCAAAUAAUGCUGAUCUUGUUCAUGUUGAUCUUGUCUAGUGCACAUCCUGUUCAAUGUAACCGUUAUGCCUUACUCUGUCCAAGUCUAUUUCCACCCUAUGAUCUGUCUGGCCAUGUUUACUAUGAUCUGCCUCCACUGCUCAUAAAUAAAGUGUUUCCCUGUACUGAGGUACACGUGACAAUAAAUCAAACCAAUAACUCC